ACGCGUUGGGAGCUCUCCCAUAUGGUCGACCUGCAGGCGGCCGCGAAUUCACUAGUGAUUCGUAUUACCGCGGCUGCUGGCACAGAGUUAGCCGGUGCUUAUUCUGUCGGUAACGUCAAAACAGCAAAGUAUUAAUUUACUGCCCUUCCUCCCAACUUAAAGUGCUUUACAAUCCGAAGACCUUCUUCACACACGUGGCAUGGCUGGAUCAGGCUUUCGCCCAUUGUCCAAUAUUCCCCACUGCUGCCUCCCGUAGGAGUCUGGACCGUGUCUCAGUUCCAGUGUGACUGAUCAUCCUCUCAGACCAGUUACGGAUCGUCGCCUUGGUGAGCCAUUACCCCACCAACUAGCUAAUCCGACCUAGGCUCAUCUGAUAGCGCAAGGCCCGAAGGUCCCCUGCUUUCUCCCGUAGGACGUAUGCGGUAUUAGCGUCCGUUUCCGAACGUUAUCCCCCACUACCAGGCAGAUUCCUAGGCAUUACUCACCCGUCCGCCGCUCUCAAGAGAAGCAAGCUUCUCUCUACCGCUCGACUUGCAUGUGUUAGGCCUGCCCCCAGCGUUCAAUCUGAGCCAUGAUCAAACUCUAAUCGAAUUCCCGCGGCCGCCAUGGCGGCCGGGAGCAUGCGACG
RNAcentral lists this ribosomal RNA (628 nucleotides) under uncultured Gammaproteobacteria bacterium. RNAcentral describes it as "partial 16S ribosomal RNA". The record is from RNAcentral. Lineage: Bacteria; Pseudomonadati; Pseudomonadota; Gammaproteobacteria.